RNAcentral lists this ribosomal RNA (253 nucleotides) under uncultured bacterium. RNAcentral's name for it is "partial 16S ribosomal RNA". It matches the Rfam family "Bacterial small subunit ribosomal RNA", at positions 524 to 776 of the family's 1533-position model. The record is from RNAcentral.
UACGGAGGGUGCGAGCGUUGUCCGGAAUCACUGGGCGUAAAGGGCGCGUAGGCGGCGCGGGCAGUCAACGGUGAAAGCUCGGAGCUCAACUCCGAGUCGGCCGUCGAUACUCCCGCGCUCGAGCACUGUAGAGGCAGGUGGAAUUCCGGGUGUAGCGGUGGAAUGCGUAGAGAUCCGGAAGAACACCGGUGGCGAAGGCGGCCUGCUGGGCAGUAGCUGACGCUGAGGCGCGACAGCGUGGGGAGCAAACAGG